RNAcentral lists this long non-coding RNA (719 nucleotides) under Setaria viridis. Its description in RNAcentral is "long non-coding RNA (SVIR_LNC009706)". The record is from RNAcentral. Lineage: Eukaryota; Viridiplantae; Streptophyta; Magnoliopsida; Poales; Poaceae.
CCAGCAAUGGACCGGAGUCAUCCUCUUCAUCGUCAAGUUGAAGCGGAGGCCGCGAUGAAAGACAUAGAAGAACGACACAUCCGUCUUCUGAUAGAACUAGGCCGGGUUGAGAGAGAACUCAAGAAAAGGCGUGGUUGAUUAUUUUUUGCUCUAAGGGCGACUCGUACUGUGUUGGCCGUGUAACCUAUCAUCCGUACCGAAUGAUAAAUCGGACGAUUUGGACGAUUAUGUUCUCUUUAGGCGAUUUUCUCUUGUAUCGGCUGUGUGUUUGUUUAUCAUAUUCUAUGGUCGAUCCUUAUGCUCCGACCUAUAUACUAGGAUAGUACCUUUUCAAGUAUCUCCCGUUCAAAGCCCUAGUAAACUCUUCUCCUUCGAUCAUUUCCAAAAUGUAAGCAUUUCCCGGGGCACAUCUGCCGACUUUAUACAGUCCUUCCCACGUAGGAGACCACUUACCGAAUUUAGGAUCCUUUGACUCGAUCGGCAGCACUAACUUCCAUACCAGGUCCCCCGGAGAGAACUACUUGACCUUGACCUUCUUAUCAUACCAUCUGGCCACCUUCUUCUUGUUUUCUUCGAUACUAAUCAAAGCUCUCAAUCGUUGGCCCGCCAAGUCAUCAAGUUCCCUUUUCAUGAGUGAGGAGUAAUCAUCGGCCGUCAGCUGAUCUUGGAGCGACGUGCGUCUCGAUCCUAUCCUUAAUUCCCACGGCAGUACUGCCUCG